CGCGUAGGUGGCUUGUCAGGUCUGGUGUGAAAUUUCGGGGCUCAACCCCGAACCUGCAUCGGAAACCGGCUUGCUAGAGUCUGGGAGAGGAGAGUGGAAUUCCUGGUGUAGCGGUGAAAUGCGUAGAUAUCAGGAGGAACACCGGUAGCGAAGGCGGCUCUCUGGAACAGUACUGACGCUGAGGCGCGAAAGCUAGGGGAGCGAACAG
This 208-nucleotide ribosomal RNA is filed under the name uncultured bacterium. RNAcentral's name for it is "partial 16S ribosomal RNA". It matches the Rfam family "Bacterial small subunit ribosomal RNA", at positions 568 to 775 of the family's 1533-position model. The record is from RNAcentral.